AUGCCCUCCAUCAACUGCCUCCUCCGGCUCUCCAGGUCGGACUAUGGCUCCGUCGCCUCCCUCAACAGGGACUUCAACUCCCUGGUGCGCAACGGGGAGAUCUACCGCCUGCGGCGGCAGAAUGGCAUCGCCGAGCAUUGGGUCUACUUCUCCUGCAAUGUCCUGGAGUGGGACGCCUAUGACCCCUACAGGGAGCGCUGGAUCCAGGUGCCCAAGAUGCCACCGGAUGAAUGCUUCAUGUGCUCUGACAAGGAGUCCCUGGCUGUGGGCACCGAGCUGCUUGUGUUUGGGAUGGCACACAUUGUGUUCAGAUAUAGCAUCCUGACCAAUUCAUGGACAAGGGCUGAUCCCAUGAACUCUCCCCGGUGCUUGUUUGGAUCAACAAGCGUCGGUGAAAAGGCGUAUGUCGCUGGAGGCACCGAUGCUUCUGGAAAGAUACUGAGCUCUGCCGAGAUGUAUGAUUCUGUGACACACACUUGGACACCCCUUCCCAGCAUGAAUAGAGCUAGGAAGAUGUGUUCUGGUGUGUUCUUGGAUGGCAAGUUCUAUGUGAUUGGUGGUGUUACCAACAACAACCAGGUACUGACAUGUGGUGAGGAAUAUGACUUGAAUCGGGGGUCAUGGAGGGUCAUUGAGAACAUGUCUGAGGGCCUCAAUGGAGUGACAGGUGCUCCUCCACUCAUUGCAGUUGUCAACAAUCAGCUCUAUGCAGCUGAUUACAGUGAGAAGGAUGUGAAGAAGUAUGACAAGCUGAAUAAUAAGUGGAUCGCUCUUGGGAAAUUGCCUGAACGGUCUGUGUCGAUGAAUGGCUGGGGCCUUGCUUUCCGAGCCUGUGGUGACCGGCUGAUUGUCAUCGGAGGCCCAAGGACUUCUAUUGGUGGCAUCAUUGAGCUUAAUUCCUGGGUUCCCGAUGAGCAACCGCCUGUGUGGAAUUUGGUUGCCACACGGCAAUCCGGGAACUUCGUGUAUAACUGCGCCGUGAUGGGUUGCUGA
RNAcentral lists this ribosomal RNA (993 nucleotides) under Triticum aestivum (bread wheat). RNAcentral describes it as "partial small subunit ribosomal RNA". The record is from RNAcentral. Lineage: Eukaryota; Viridiplantae; Streptophyta; Magnoliopsida; Poales; Poaceae.